RNAcentral lists this unclassified non-coding RNA (343 nucleotides) under soil metagenome. RNAcentral's name for it is "partial contains 5.8S ribosomal RNA, internal transcribed spacer 2, and large subunit ribosomal RNA". The stretch from base 1 to 120 matches the Rfam family "5.8S ribosomal RNA", at positions 35 to 154 of the family's 154-position model. The record is from RNAcentral.
GAUGAAGAACGCAGCGAAAUGCGAUACGUAGUGUGAAUUGCAGAAUUCAGUGAAUCAUCGAAUCUUUGAACGCACAUUGCACCUCUCGGUAUUCCGGGAGGUAUGCCUGUUCGAGCGUCAUUUCAACCCUCGAGCCCCCCCGGGGGCCUCGGUGUUGGGGGACGGCACACCAGCCGCCCCCGAAAUGCAGUGGCGACCCCGCCGCAGCCUCCCCUGCGUAGUAGCACACACCUCGCACCGGAGCGCGGAGGCGGUCACGCCGUAAAACGCCCAACUUUCUUAGAGUUGACCUCGGAUCAGGUAGGAAUACCCGCUGAACUUAAGCAUAUCAAUAAGCGGAGGA